This 346-nucleotide ribosomal RNA is filed under the name uncultured bacterium. RNAcentral's name for it is "bacterial SSU rRNA". It matches the Rfam family "Bacterial small subunit ribosomal RNA", at positions 63 to 422 of the family's 1533-position model. The record is from RNAcentral.
CGGGGGCCAGCAAUGGCAACCGGCGAACGGGUGCGUAACACGUGAGCAACCUACCGAAAUGAGGGGGAUAGCCGGCCCAACGGCCGGGUAAUACCGCAUACGCUCGAGACCAGGCAUUUGGACUCGAGGAAACCUCCGGGGCAUUUCGAGGGGCUCGCGGCCUAUCAGCUAGUUGGUGAGGUAACGGCUCACCAAGGCGACGACGGGUAGCUGGUCUGAGAGGAUGGCCAGCCACAUUGGGACUGAGAUACGGCCCAGACUCCUACGGGAGGCAGCAGUGGGGAAUCUUGCGCAAUGGCCUAACGGCUGACGCAGCGACGCCGCGUGAGGGAUGACGCUCUUCGGA